This 496-nucleotide ribosomal RNA is filed under the name uncultured bacterium. Its description in RNAcentral is "partial 16S ribosomal RNA". It matches the Rfam family "Bacterial small subunit ribosomal RNA", at positions 28 to 506 of the family's 1533-position model. The record is from RNAcentral.
GAUGAACGCUGGCGGCGUGCCUAAUACAUGCAAGUCGAGCGAACAGACGAGAAGCGUUCUUCUCUGAUGUUAACGGCGGACGUGUUAGUAACACGUGGAUAACCUCGCUAUGAGUCUGUAAUAGCUUCGGUAAACCGUAGCUCAUACCGGAUAAGAUUUUAAACCGCGUGGUUUAAAAGUGCACGACGGUCUUGCGGUCGCUGUUAGAUGGAUCCGCGCGGCAUUAGCUAGUUGGUCAGGUAACGGCUUUCCAAGGCAACUAUGCAUAGCCGACCUGAGAGGGUGAUCGGCCACACUGGAACUGAGACACGGUCCAGACUCCUAGGGGAGGCAGAAGUAGGGAAUCUUGCGAAAUGGGGGAAAGCCUGACGGAGAAACGCCGCGUGAGUGAUGAAGGUCUUCGGAUCGUAAAACUCUGUUAUCAGGGCAGAACAUAUGUGUAAGUAACUGUGCACAAAUGGACGGUACCUAAUCAGAAAGCCCCGGCUAACUACGG